GGGACGUCUGGGAGUGUGGCGGCGUGCUAUACAUGCAAGUCGAGCGAAUGGAUUAAGAGCUUGCUCUUAUGAAGUUAGCGGCGGACGGGUGAGUAACACGUGGGUAACCUGCCCAUAAGACUGGGAUAACUCCGGGAAACCGGGGCUAAUACCGGAUAACAUUUUGAACCGCAUGGUUCGAAAUUGAAAGGCGGCUUCGGCUGUCACUUAUGGAUGGACCCGCGUCGCAUUAGCUAGUUGGUGAGGUAACGGCUCACCAAGGCAACGAUGCGUAGCCGACCUGAGAGGGUGAUCGGCCACACUGGGACUGAGACACGGCCCAGACUCCUACGGGAGGCAGCAGUAGGGAAUCUUCCGCAAUGGACGAAAGUCUGACGGAGCAACGCCGCGUGAGUGAUGAAGGCUUUCGGGUCGUAAAACUCUGUUGUUAGGGAAGAACAAGUGCUAGUUGAAUAAGCUGGCACCUUGACGGUACCUAACCAGAAAGCCACGGCUAACUACGUGCCAGCAGCCGCGGUAAUACGUAGGUGGCAAGCGUUAUCCGGAAUUAUUGGGCGUAAAGCGCGCGCAGGUGGUUUCUUAAGUCUGAUGUGAAAGCCCACGGCUCAACCGUGGAGGGUCAUUGGAAACUGGGAGACUUGAGUGCAGAAGAGGAAAGUGGAAUUCCAUGUGUAGCGGUGAAAUGCGUAGAGAUAUGGAGGAACACCAGUGGCGAAGGCGACUUUCUGGUCUGUAACUGACACUGAGGGCGCCGAAAGC
This 759-nucleotide ribosomal RNA is filed under the name Bacillus sp. H6B-54. Its description in RNAcentral is "bacterial SSU rRNA". It matches the Rfam family "Bacterial small subunit ribosomal RNA", at positions 1 to 760 of the family's 1533-position model. Lineage: Bacteria; Bacillati; Bacillota; Bacilli; Caryophanales; Bacillaceae. The record is from RNAcentral.